RNAcentral lists this ribosomal RNA (497 nucleotides) under uncultured bacterium. RNAcentral's name for it is "partial 16S ribosomal RNA". It matches the Rfam family "Bacterial small subunit ribosomal RNA", at positions 28 to 507 of the family's 1533-position model. The record is from RNAcentral.
GAUGAACGCUGGCGGCGUGCCUAAUACAUGCAAGUCGAGCGAACAGACGAGGAGCUUGCUCCUUUGACGUUAGCGGCGGACGGGUGAGUAACACGUGGGUAACCUACCUAUAAGACUGGGAUAACUUCGGGAAACCGGAGCUAAUACCGGAUAAUAUUUCGAACCGCAUGGUUCGAUAGUGAAAGAUGGCUCUGCUAUCACUUAUAGAUGGACCUGCGCCGUAUUAGCUAGUUGGUAAGGUAACGGCUUACCAAGGCAACGAUACGUAGCCGACCUGAGAGGGUGAUCGGCCACACUGGAACUGAGACACCGUCCAGACUCCUACGGGAGGCAGCAGUAUGGAAUGUUCCGCAAUGGGCGAAAGCCUUACGGAGCAACGCCGCGUGAGUUAUGAAGGUCUUCGGAUCGUAAAACCCGGUUAUUAGGGAAGAACAAACGUGUAAGUAACCGUGCACGUCUUGACGGUACCUAAUCAGAAAGCCCCGGCUAACUACGUG